RNAcentral lists this long non-coding RNA (879 nucleotides) under Sinocyclocheilus grahami. RNAcentral describes it as "lncRNA (ENSSGRG00000013038.1)". Lineage: Eukaryota; Metazoa; Chordata; Actinopteri; Cypriniformes; Cyprinidae. The record is from RNAcentral.
CUAUUUCAUAAGUCUCAUUUAAGUAUCAGUCCUUUGAAAAUAUCAAGAAUCCUAACAUUGCUAUAUAUUUGCUAGUGUUGUGGGUGGAUGCUAUGCAGUUUCUUUUCAUGUUUAUUUUGUGUGAUUUCUUUGGUGUAGCAGGUGAAAAUGGUGCACCUGAUCACUUAGUACCAGCACAGCUCUUGAUUUAGGGACGACGCACACACUCAACUUUAAUACUUUAAUACUAGGACUAGUGAUGAGUGCGUUAAUUAAUUCCCCUCAUUAAUUAAGUGCAUAUUUAUGUCUUCACAGCUCCGACUGAACGGCGGAGACCCAGUCCACGAGCGUUUGAUGAGGGCUCAACCACGCCAGCCAAUCAGCUCUCGCUUUCUGCCAACAGACAUGGCUGCCUGGCCAAUCACAGCGGGGACGUGGCAGAGGUGGGCAGGGCCUGAGUGCUGGAGUGUCUGUGUUCUGGAGCAAAUGCUCAGAGAGAGAGAGAAAGGAGAGACAACGCUCCGUCUGUGUGUCUGAUUCUGCUGCGCGUCUCUCUCUCUCACUGCAGCUCUGUGUGUGUGUGUGUGUGUGUGUGUUCAUGUAUGCCGGCAACGGCUGCAUCGCUCCUUCAUCCCCUUCAUCUUCAUCAGUGAAUUCACAGCAUCAGCGCACGAUCCUGCUCAUCUGUUGCCGUGGUGAUGGGCUGUCGACUGUCAGGGCCGUGGAUGGGCGACGGGAUGGGGGUUCACGGUCAGGACCUGACCCACCUGCAGAAGCGAGAGGCCUUCCGUAUCCUGGCCAGCUACGAGCAGCCAAUCACGCUUCAGAUUGAGGGCCGGGGGCGGAGCCUGCAGUACAACAGGACGACGGACUGCAGCACGCAGACGGAGCGACCGUGGG